Molecule: ribosomal RNA, 445 nt
Filed under: uncultured bacterium
Lineage: Bacteria
Description: bacterial SSU rRNA
Rfam family: Bacterial small subunit ribosomal RNA
Source: RNAcentral
CCUACGGGUUGCACCAGUGGGGAAUAUUGCACAAUGGGCGCAAGCCUGAUGCAGCGACGCCGCGUGAGGGAUGAAGGCCUUCGGGUUGUAAACCUCUUUCAGUAGGGAAGAAGCGAAAGUGACGGUACCUGCAGAAGAAGCGCCGGCUAACUACGUGCCAGCAGCCGCGGUAAUACGUAGGGCGCAAGCGUUAUCCGGAAUUAUUGGGCGUAAAGAGCUCGUAGGCGGUUUGUCGCGUCUGCCGUGAAAGUCCGGGGCUUAACUCCGGAUCUGCGGUGGGUACGGGCAGACUAGAGUGCAGUAGGGGAGACUGGAAUUCCUGGUGUAGCGGUGAAAUGCGCAGAUAUCAGGAGGAACACCGAUGGCGAAGGCAGGUCUCUGGGCUGUAACUGACGCUGAGGAGCGAAAGCAUGGGGAGCGAACAGGAUUAGAUACCCGUGUAGUC